AAGGUUUCCGUAGGUGAACCUGCGGAAGGAUCAUUACCGAGUGAGGGCCCUUUGGGUCCAACCUCCCACCCGUGUUUAUUUACCUCGUUGCUUCGGCGGGCCCGCCUUAACUGGCCGCCGGGGGGCUCACGCCCCCGGGCCCGCGCCCGCCGAAGACACCCCCGAACUCUGCCUGAAGAUUGUCGUCUGAGUGAAAAUAUAAAUUAUUUAAAACUUUCAACAACGGAUCUCUUGGUUCCGGCAUCGAUGAAGAACGCAGCGAAAUGCGAUACGUAAUGUGAAUUGCAAAUUCAGUGAAUCAUCGAGUCUUUGAACGCACAUUGCGCCCCCUGGUAUUCCGGGGGGCAUGCCUGUCCGAGCGUCAUUGCUGCCCUCAAGCCCGGCUUGUGUGUUGGGCCCCGUCCUCCGAUUCCGGGGGACGGGCCCGAAAGGCAGCGGCGGCACCGCGUCCGGUCCUCGAGCGUAUGGGGCUUUGUCACCCGCUCUGUAGGCCCGGCCGGCGCUUGCCGAUCAACCCAAAUUUUUAUCCAGGUUGACCUCGGAUCAGGU
Molecule: ribosomal RNA, 549 nt
Filed under: Penicillium expansum
Lineage: Eukaryota; Fungi; Ascomycota; Eurotiomycetes; Eurotiales; Aspergillaceae
Description: eukaryotic LSU rRNA
Rfam family: 5.8S ribosomal RNA (bases 212-364)
Source: RNAcentral